UCGGUUGAUUACUAAGAUGGAAGCGGAGCAGGGGAGAGUAACGCGUGGAUACGUACCCUCAGGCCCGGGAUAGCUGCGGGAAACUGCAGGUAAUACCGGAUAACAUCUUCGGAUCAAAGGUGUGAUUCCACCUGAGGAGCGGUCCGCGUCCUAUUAGCUUGUUGGUGGGGUAACGGCCUACCAAGGCAAUGAUGGGUACCGGGUGUGAGAGCAUGGCCCGGCUCACUGGGACUGAGACACUGCCCAGACACCUACGGGUGGCUGCAGUCGAGAAUCUUCCGCAAUGGGCGAAAGCCUGACGGAGCGACGCCGCGUGCGGGAUGAAGGCCUUCGGGUUGUAAACCGCUGUCAGAGGGGAGUAAGUGAAGGGGGUUAUCCCCUGGAUCUGAACCAUCCUCAGAGGAAGGACGGGCUAAGUUCGUGCCAGCAGCCGCGGUAAGACGAACCGUCCAAACGUUAUUCGGAAUCACUGGGCUUAAAGGGUGCGUAGGCGGCCCUGCAAGUUGGGUGUGAAAUCCCACGGCUCAACCGUGGAAUUGCGCCCAAAACUGCAGGACUUGAGGGAGACAGAGGUGAGCGGAACUUAUGGUGGAGCGGUGAAAUGCGUUGAUAUCAUAAGGAACACCGGUGGCGAAAGGCGGCUCACUGGGUCUCUUCUGACGCUGAGGCACGAAAGCUAGGGUAGCGAACAGGAUUAGAUACCCUGGUAGUCCUAGCUGUAAAACGAUGAGCACUAGGCUGGAGGCUCC
RNAcentral lists this ribosomal RNA (749 nucleotides) under uncultured bacterium. Its description in RNAcentral is "bacterial SSU rRNA". It matches the Rfam family "Bacterial small subunit ribosomal RNA", at positions 74 to 831 of the family's 1533-position model. The record is from RNAcentral.